GACGAACCGUGCGAACGUUGUUCGGAAUCACUGGGCUUAAAGGGCGCGUAGGCGGGCGAUCAAGUCAGGGGUGAAAUCCUCCAGCUUAACUGGAGAACUGCCUUUGAUACUGGUCAUCUUGAGUGAGGUAGGGGCGUGCGGAACUGAUGGUGGAGCGGUGAAAUGUGUUGAUAUCAUCAGGAACUCCGGUGGCGAAAGCGGCGCGCUGGACCUUUACUGACGCUGAGGCACGAAAGCCAGGGGAGCGAACGGG
This 253-nucleotide ribosomal RNA is filed under the name uncultured bacterium. RNAcentral describes it as "partial 16S ribosomal RNA". It matches the Rfam family "Bacterial small subunit ribosomal RNA", at positions 524 to 776 of the family's 1533-position model. The record is from RNAcentral.